UCCCUCACUUUAUAACCAGCCUAUAAGAAGCCCAAUAGACCAUCCCCUCAAUCUUGCUUGCGGUUUUUGUGUGUAGCCCAAACCGAGAUCCCAUUGCCUUUUUUCUAUACCUGCGGCCCAACUCAAGACCACCGCCCACCUCCCUUAUCUCUGUUUUAUAGUUACGUACCAUGCAUUAUUUUAUCAUCACAACUCCAAAACACUUAAACCCUAAUUUACAAGCAUCGCACGCCGCGGUUCCUUCUCUUCGGUGCUCUCUCUCGCUCGCAUCACACUCUCUCUUACGGCAUGUCUACCUCAACAUCAUCCUUAUCAUCAGAUCAGCCACGGGCGCCAAGGAAGGCACCCGCAGUUAUACGCACACCUCCGCGUCAAGUAGAGACGCGUUCUGCUUAUCAUAAGAGACUUGCUCGGGGUGGGGAGUCUUCUUCCCGACCUACCCAUGCGGUACCAGUUAAUCCAAUUAGCGCCCAGUCCGAGUCUGCAGUGAUGAAAGCCCUUAGGGAAUAUAACCAAUUUUUUAUACAGCAAAAUCAGACCUUGUUAGAACGGAAUCAAUUCUUGCUGAAACAAGUUACUACUCUGGAAAGGCGGGUAGAAUCCCAAGGAGAGCAGCUUCAGGUGCUCUUUGAGAGAACCGAUGAGUUGAAGCAUGAAGCCUUGGCGGAUGAAGAUUCGGAGGGGGGAGACAGCGGAGUCGACGACUGACCCGCUUUCCACUUGUUUAUCUAUCUAUUUCUUUUGUUUUGUGUAAACAAUCGUGAUGUUUUAAAUGUUUGCGGAAAUACAUUGUAGCGACUUUUACGAUUUAUUUUGAUCAAUUUUUUUUUUAUUAUUUUAAAUACGUUUCUUGUGCUGAGUCGUUACCCUACCCUAAAUUGCAUGUUUUGAAAGCUUGUACAAUGAUUGUAUGAUACCUUGUCUCGUAUAAUCGUGCGUAUGUCAACAGAAUGUCUCGUCCUAACGAUGAACCUCUCACUAUUCAUGGUGACAAGAGUGGUGCUGUUGUGGGCAUCAUCUCGUUCCUUAAGGCCCAGAAGUGUCUGCGAAAGGGCCACACUACCAUUCUAGCCCUUGUUACCGAUACUCCAACGAAAGAGAAGAAGAUUGAAGACAUCCCGAUCGUACGCGACUUUCCAGAGGCAUUUCCUGGGAAUUACCUGGUCUACCGCUUCAUCGCCAAGUCGAGUUUCAAAUCGAGCUAACUGUAACAACCCGACUCUUCGGGUCAUUACUUAGAUCUGUCAUUUAUUGCUUAAUUGACUUGUACUCUCGGGAUAUUGAUUAUCGCUACGGGUUAACUGUUUUAAACUAUGUUUUCAAACGCAUAUUACAACGAUUAUUCAAAACGCAGUUAUCAUAUUUAAACGCUACUCACAAUGCAUACUAUUUACACGCAUUUUACCGCAUGUUACAUCGCAUGUUAUUACUAAACCCUAUCGCAACGCACUCUCAACGCAACUCGAAACGCGGAAUUACUUUUAUGCAUUUUAGUUGUAUUGUGUGUAGAUUAUGUGAUUAUUUGGUUAUAUUGGCUAUAUGUUUUGUGGUUGUCAACGCAACGAUUACACGCUUACUCGCAACUCGCUUAAACGCAACGCAACGCUUAACGAACGAAACGAAAGUUGGAAACUAACUCGCACGAACACGGCUGUCCGAAUGGACAUCCGGUCGAAUGGACAUCCGUUCGGAUGACCAUCCCAUCCGAUCGGAUGGCCAUCCGACCGGACGCCCAUCCGACCCAAUGUCACUCUCUUGGGCCACCUUACCUUUUCUCUCACAUCUAUAAAUACCUCCCACGCACCACUGUUCACUGAUGUGACAGCUCCAUCCGACCAACUCGCUCCCAAGUCAUUCUCAAGCACUUUUCUCUCGAUUCAAGGCUAUUUCAAAUUUAAAAGAUGGAGAAAUACAGGUCUCGAUCAUGUCGGGAUGAUGGGCUGACAGAUAACGGGGAGUUUCCACGCAACAUGAAGAAUUUAAGGAGUUACACCACUUGGAACCGAGACACAAAGAAACCAACUUCGAAUUCGAAGAAUUGGAGCCUGAGUGAUCCUGAGUUGCAAAGGAAGAAAAGGGUUGCUUCCUAUAGAGUUUACUCAAUGGAGAGCAAAAUGAAGGGGUCUUUCAAGAAGAGUUUUGGGUGGAUCAAACAUACUUACACCCACCUUCUCUAUGGCUAUAGGUGAAUUUGUCGACCUCUAUCGUCGCCUUCAAAAGAGACUCAAACAUGUGAUUGUAUGAUAACGCGUAGUUAUUUUGAUUUAACGAUGAUUUAUUAUUCUGUUUCGUGAUGAAAGACAUGUAAUCAUGUUAUUAACAAUGGUGUAUGCUAAGAUUGUGAUGAUGUUUGAAAUUUAAAUGAUCAUUCACCAAGUUUGAUUUUCA
This is an RNA transcript of Helianthus annuus (common sunflower), 2388 nucleotides long. RefSeq lists it as uncharacterized. The transcript has 3 exons. The record is from RefSeq and is a predicted model, not a curated record. NCBI's taxonomy places the organism in Eukaryota, Viridiplantae, Streptophyta, Magnoliopsida, Asterales, Asteraceae.